This 74-nucleotide transfer RNA is filed under the name Nitrososphaerales archaeon. RNAcentral describes it as "tRNA-Thr". It matches the Rfam family "tRNA". Rfam says of the family: Transfer RNA (tRNA) molecules are approximately 80 nucleotides in length. Their secondary structure includes four short double-helical elements and three loops (D, anti-codon, and T loops). Lineage: Archaea; Thermoproteati; Nitrososphaerota; Nitrososphaeria; Nitrososphaerales. The record is from RNAcentral.
GCCUCGGUAGCUCAGCCCGGCAGAGCACUUGCCUUGUAAGCAAGUCGUCGGGGGUUCAAAUCCCCCCCGAGGCU